This is a long non-coding RNA of Syzygium oleosum, 565 nucleotides long. RefSeq lists it as uncharacterized. The transcript is spliced from 2 exons. The record is from RefSeq and is a predicted model, not a curated record. Lineage: Eukaryota; Viridiplantae; Streptophyta; Magnoliopsida; Myrtales; Myrtaceae.
CCCCCCCAAACCGUGAACUCUCUCUCUCUCUCUUUGGGCCGAUCAUCGUCCAAGUCGAUCGUCGGACCGCCGCGGCUCCAUCGCCGCUUGCUUUCGCCACCACCAAGCCGCACCGCCGUCCCCGCCGUUCGCCGCCGCGCUACGUUCUAGCCGCUUUAGUCUAGAACCAAAUAACCCGCCUGAACAAGGAAUCAGUCACCACCACCACCGUCAGAAUGUUUUGGUACAGUCAUGCACAUCGAGGGUAAUUUCGUGGAGUACAUCCUGAAUGGAUGCCGUACCAAGGACGCAAGGACUGGUGAGGAGGCGAUGAGCUAGUGUUCGUGUAGUACCGCUUUUGGUAGAUAAGGAAUUUGCCUCUUUAGAUGUAUGAUUUUUAAGGUAAUCGCAGUGGAUGUGCAUGUAAAAUUUAUGGACCCAGAAACAUCGGGAAGGUGUAAGUAUGUUCAUAUGUGGAUAAUGUAAGGUUUGUAAGUGUUGGCGGUUGGACGUGCAAGUUUAAUUAUGGUGUUCUCCAAUUUAUUGUCCGGGUUUAAUUAUUUGUUUCCGCUACGAUUGACUCUGA